CAUAAAGGGAAUCAACACAGUAAAGGAGGAGACUAUAUUUAAAAGAAGAAAAACUACCACAACAAGAGGACAUAGUCUUAAAUUAGAGGGGCAAAGGUUUAAAAAUAAUAUCAGGAAGUAUUACUUUACUCAGAGGGUAGUGGAUGCAUGGAAUAGCCUUCCAGCUGAAGUGGUAGAGGUUAACACAGUAAAGGAGUUUAAGCAUGCGUGGGAUAGGCAUAAGGCUAUCCUAACUAUAAGAUAAGGCCAGGGACUAAUGAAAGUAUUUAGAAAAUUGGGCAGAGUAGAUGGGCCGAAUGGUUCUUAUCUGCCGUCACAUUCUAUGUUUCUA
This is a non-coding RNA of Pelobates cultripes (western spadefoot toad), 331 nucleotides long. Lineage: Eukaryota; Metazoa; Chordata; Amphibia; Anura; Pelobatidae. The record is from the annotation of a GenBank genome assembly.